AACGUAGGACGCAAGCGUUAUCCGGAAUUACUAGGCGUAAAGCGCGUGUAGGUGGUUGCAUAAGUCACUGUUGAAAGCUCCCGGCUAAACUGGGAGAGGUGCGGUGAGACUGUGUGGCUAGAGUAUGGGAGAGGGAUGCAGAAUUCCGGGUGUAGUGGUGAAAUGCGUAGAGAUCCGGAGGAAUACCAGAGGCGAAGGCGGCAUCCUGGCCUGUUACUGACACUGAGACGCGAAAGCAUGGGGAGCGAACGGG
RNAcentral lists this ribosomal RNA (253 nucleotides) under uncultured bacterium. RNAcentral's name for it is "partial 16S ribosomal RNA". It matches the Rfam family "Bacterial small subunit ribosomal RNA", at positions 524 to 776 of the family's 1533-position model. The record is from RNAcentral.